Molecule: ribosomal RNA, 499 nt
Filed under: uncultured bacterium
Lineage: Bacteria
Description: partial 16S ribosomal RNA
Rfam family: Bacterial small subunit ribosomal RNA
Source: RNAcentral
GACGAACGCUGGCGGCGUGCCUAAUACAUGCAAGUCGAGCGGACUUUCAAGAAGCUUGCUUUUUGAAAGUUAGCGGCGGACGGGUGAGUAACACGUGGGUAACCUGCCUGCAAGACGGGGAUAACUCCGGGAAACCGGGGCUAAUACCGGAUAAUAUCUUCCUUCGCAUGAAGGAAGGUUGAAAGGCGGCGCAAGCUGCCGCUUGCAGAUGGGCCCGCGGCGCAUUAGCUAGUUGGUGAGGUAACGGCUCACCAAGGCGACGAUGCGUAGCCGACCUGAGAGGGUGAUCGGCCACACUGGGACUGAGACACGGCCCAGACUCCUACGGGAGGCAGCAGUAGGGAAUCUUCCGCAAUGGACGAAAGUCUGACGGAGCAACGCCGCGUGAGCGAAGAAGGUCUUCGGAUCGUAAAGCUCUGUUGUCAGGGAAGAACAAGUACCGUUCGAACAGGGCGGUACCUUGACGGUACCUGACCAGAAAGCCACGGCUAACUACGUG